CCUACGGGUGGCAGCAGUGAGGAAUAUUGGUCAAUGGGCGUAAGCCUGAACCAGCCAAGUCGCGUGAGGGAUGAAGGUUCUAUGGAUCGUAAACCUCUUUUAUAAGGGAAUAAAGUGUGGGACGUGUCCGAUUUUGUAUGUACCUUAUGAAUAAGGAUCGGCUAACUCCGUGCCAGCAGCCGCGGUAAUACGGAGGAUCCGAGCGUUAUCCGGAUUUAUUGGGUUUAAAGGGUGCGUAGGCGGCCUUUUAAGUCAGCGGUGAAAGUCUGUGGCUCAACCAUAGAAUUGCAGUUGAAACUGGCAGGCUUGAGUAGGUGAGAGGUAGGCGGAAUGCGUGGUGUAGCGGUGAAAUGCUUAGAUAUCACGCAGAACCCCGAUUGCGAAGGCAGCUUGCCGGGCCAUGACUGACGCUGAGGCACGAAAGUGUGGGGAUCAAACAGGAUUAGAUACCCCAGUAGUC
RNAcentral lists this ribosomal RNA (460 nucleotides) under uncultured bacterium. Its description in RNAcentral is "partial 16S ribosomal RNA". It matches the Rfam family "Bacterial small subunit ribosomal RNA", at positions 338 to 795 of the family's 1533-position model. The record is from RNAcentral.